Molecule: ribosomal RNA, 451 nt
Filed under: uncultured bacterium
Lineage: Bacteria
Description: partial 16S ribosomal RNA
Rfam family: Bacterial small subunit ribosomal RNA
Source: RNAcentral
AACGAACGCUGGCGGCAGGCUUAACACAUGCAAGUCGAACGCCUGUAGCAAUACAGGAGUGGCAGACGGGUGAGUAACACGUGGGAACGUGCCCAAAGGUACGGAACAACUCCGGGAAACUGGAGCUAAUACCGGAUGAGCCCUUAGGGGGAAAGAUUUAUCGCCAUUAGAGCGGCCCGCGUUAGAUUAGCUAGUUGGUGAGGUAAAGGCUCACCAAGGCUACGAUCUAUAGCUGGUCUGAGAGGAUGAUCAGCCACACUGGGACUGAGACACGGCCCAGACUCCUACGGGGGGCAGCAGUGGGGAAUCUUGCGCAAUGGGCGAAAGCCUGACGCAGCCAUGCCGCGUGAAUGAUGAAGGUCUUAGGAUUGUAAAAUUCUUUUACCAGGGACGAUAAUGACGGUACCUGGAGAAAAAGCCCCGGCUAACUUCGCGCCAGCCGCCGCCGUAA